GACGAACGCUGGCGGCGUGCUUAACACAUGCAAGUCGAACGCUGAAGCUUGGUGCUUGCACUGGGUGGAUGAGUGGCGAACGGGUGAGUAAUACGUGAGUAACCUGCCCUUGACUCUGGGAUAAGCCUGGGAAACUGGGUCUAAUACUGGAUACGACAUGUCACCGCAUGGUGGUGUGUGGAAAGGGUUUUACUGGUUUUGGAUGGGCUCACGGCCUAUCAGCUUGUUGGUGGGGUAAUGGCUCACCAAGGCGACGACGGGUAGCCGGCCUGAGAGGGUGACCGGCCACACUGGGACUGAGACACGGCCCAGACUCCCACGGGAGGCAGCAGUGGGGAAUAUUGCACAAUGGGCGGAAGCCUGAUGCAGCGACGCCGCGUGAGGGAUGACGGCCUUCGGGUUGUAAACCUCUUUCAGCACGGAAGAAGCGAAAGUGACGGUACGUGCAGAAGAAGCGCCGGCUAACUACGUG
Molecule: ribosomal RNA, 472 nt
Filed under: uncultured bacterium
Lineage: Bacteria
Description: partial 16S ribosomal RNA
Rfam family: Bacterial small subunit ribosomal RNA
Source: RNAcentral